AAAGAUGGUUUCGGCUAUCACUUCGGGAUGGGCCUGCGGCGCAUUAGCUUGUUGGUGGGGUAACGGCCUACCAAGGCGAUGAUGCGUAGCCGAGUUGAGAGACUGAUCGGCCACAAUGGGACUGAGACACGGCCCAUACUCCUACGGGAGGCAGCAGUAGGGAAUCUUCCACAAUGGGCGCAAGCCUGAUGGAGCAACACCGCGUGAGUGAAGAAGGGUUUCGGCUCGUAAAGCUCUGUUGUUGAAGAAGAAUGUGCAAGAGAGUAACUGUUCNUUGUAUUGACGNUAUUCAACCAGAAA
This 300-nucleotide ribosomal RNA is filed under the name uncultured bacterium. Its description in RNAcentral is "bacterial SSU rRNA". It matches the Rfam family "Bacterial small subunit ribosomal RNA", at positions 202 to 489 of the family's 1533-position model. The record is from RNAcentral.